This is a long non-coding RNA of Sarcophilus harrisii (Tasmanian devil), 2424 nucleotides long. The record is from Ensembl. NCBI's taxonomy places the organism in Eukaryota, Metazoa, Chordata, Mammalia, Dasyuromorphia, Dasyuridae.
CCCCCCACCUCUCAUUCCAUGCAAGACUGGAAGCUCCAUGAAGACAGGGCUUGUGUUGCCUCAGUUGUGUAUUCCCAGUACUAAGAAAAGGGCUUUACUUAUUGAAGCUGACAAGUAAAUGCUUAUAAUUGAAUUGAACUGGGGCAGUUCUAGUCAGUGAUGUUAGAGCUGAGACUCUCAAGUGAGGGGGCGUCUAACUGACAUUUUCCUGGGCCCUGCAUCCUGCCUGGGAGGAGAGGAACAUGGCUCCAGCGGCUCCCUUUGGGAGAGGGCCAAGUUCGGCUGAAUGGCUGUAAUCCCGGAAUGGUUCCAGAAAAGGUUUCCUCUCCCAGCGGGCUUGCCAGAUGCCCCGUUACCACUCUUGGCGGGGACAGAGAUGAGUGAAGUGUUAAGACCCUAGUCUAAAACACUUGCCAACUUUCUUCUGCUUGCCAGCGGAGCCCUGUCUACUCCCCAGAAGGCCGGUGGUGUCUGCCCUGCUUGGCUGGCUCAGCCAUCGUGGGAGGAGGACGGAUGCUGGGCAGGGAGCAGCCAUGGGGCUUUCGCACUCCUGGUCAGGCUCUUCUCUAAACCAAAGGGCAUGGCCGAGAAGAGACAGAAAAAGGUUUGCAGCUGCAUUUCUCAAUCAGUGAAUGGUGUGUCUAGGCUGCCAGACCGGGAAUUAUGUCUUUUUAUGACAGAAAAUUUGGGGUUUUUCUUUAUUUUUAUAUUGACCCCCAGUCUCCCAAAAUUUCCUUUUAUUGAGGGGAAAUUUAUGUCCCAGAUACUGUCGGCUGGAGCGGAGAGGAAGCCCCUUACACCAAGGGUCAUUUGCACCCUCAGCAAGCAGCAUCACCUGCGGUACUCAGAAGCCACUUCAUGAGUACUUGAAGAAUGCUCCAACUGCAUUUACGUACUUUCACUAUCUUUCACACUUCCAAGACUCGAGGACGAGUGCAGAGUCCUGCAGGGCAAGUCUCACUCUGGCCAGUCUCGUGAUCUUGAUCAAGUCCCUGUCCUUUUCCUGAGUAAUGAGGGUGUUGGGCUGGAUCAUCUCCAGCUACCUUUCUUCUGACCUCAGCGGUCAGACAAAAUCCCUACCUGCCCUUAGUUCCCCAAUGUCCAGGAGGCUGUCCUGGGAUGGGGCUUCUGAGAUAAAUCGAUGAGAAAGGGGAGCAGGACAGGACAUGCUUCAGGAGGCUGAGCAGGACCUGGGAGUUGUGCUGCAUGGGUAUAUAUGGAUAUGGAAGGACAAGGGGCUCCUUCAUUCCUUCUGGCUCAUAUAUUUACCUCAUUACAGAGAGUUUUGCUCUGUUGUUGUUUUUUUGUUAAAUCUUAUUGAAUUCUUAGUAUUUUAUUUUCCCCAAUUACUUGUAAAAACAAUCUUUAACAUUCAUUUUUAAAAUUUUGAGUUCCAAAUUCUCUUCCUCCCUCCCCAUGCCCCUCAUUGAGAAGGCAAGCAAUUUGAUACAGGUUAUACAUGUACAGUUAAUCAAAACAUAUUUCCACAUUAGUCGUGUUUUGAAAGAAAACAUAAACCAAAAAAAAAAAAAUAGCUCAAGAAAAAUUAAGAAAGUAAAAAAAAAUGCUUCCAUCUGCAUUCAGACACCAUCAGAACUUUGUCUGGAUAGCAUUUUUCAUCAUAGGUCCUUCAGAGUUGUAUUGGGUCAUUGCAUUGCUGAGAAUAGCUAAAUCAUUCACAGCUAAUCAUCUUACAAUACUGCUGUUACUUUGUACAUUCUAUAUUUCCCUUUGCAUCAGCUCAUGGAAGUCUUUCCAGGUUUUUCUGAGAGUUUUCUGCUCAUCUUUUCUCAUACGUACAAUAGCAUUCCAUGAUAAUCACAAAGCACAAUUUGUUCAGUCAUUCCCCAAUUGAUGGGUAUCCUCCCAAUUUCAAAUCCCUGCUACCAGAAAAGAGCUAUUUAAAUAUUUCCAUGACAUAGAUCCUCGCUCUUCUCUCCCUUAAAAAAAAACUCUUUUUGGAUACAGAGUUAGUAAUGGCAUUAUAUACGAAGUGCACGCAUGUUUCUAAAUUUGGGCAUAGUUCCAAAUUGCUCUAAAUACUGGUUGAAUCAGCUCACCACUCUACCGAUACUGCAUUAAUGUCUCAUUUCCCCCACAUCCCCUCCAACAUUUAUUUGUCAUUCUAUUUUUCUGUUCUAUUAGUCAACCUAAUAGAUAGGAGGUAGUUCCUCAGAAUUAUUUAAAUCUGCAUUACUUCAGUCAACAGUGAUUUAAAACACCUUUUCAUGUGACUGCAGAUAGCUCUGAUUACUUCAUUUGAAAACCUCAUGUCUCUUGAUCAUCCAUCAUUUGCGGAAUGGCUCCUACUUUGACUCAGUUCUCUCCAAAACUGAGAUAUUUAUCAGAGAAACUUGCACCAAAAAAUGUUUUCACAGUUAUAUUUACUAAAUGUAUUUCCCUCCACUCUAUUUAUUCCAUUCU